Molecule: ribosomal RNA, 495 nt
Filed under: uncultured bacterium
Lineage: Bacteria
Description: partial 16S ribosomal RNA
Rfam family: Bacterial small subunit ribosomal RNA
Source: RNAcentral
GACGAACGCUGGCGGCGUGCCUAAUACAUGCAAGUAGAACGCUGAAGGAGGAGCUUGCUCUUCUGGAUGAGUUGCGAACGGGUGAGUAACGCGUAGGUAACCUGCCUGGUAGCGGGGGAUAACUAUUGGAAACGAUAGCUAAUACCGCAUAACAGUAGAUGUUGCAUGACAUUUGCUUAAAAGGUGCAAUUGCAUCACUACCAGAUGGACCUGCGUUGUAUUAGCUAGUUGGUGGGGUAACGGCUCACCAAGGCGACGAUACAUAGCCGACCUGAGAGGGUGAUCGGCCACACUGGGACUGGGACACGGCCCAGACUCCUACGGGAGGCAGCAGGAGGGAAUCUUCGGCAAUGGACGGAAGUCUGACCGAGCAACGCCGCGUGAGUGAAGAAGGUUUUCGGAUCGUAAAGCUCUGUUGUAAGAGAAGAACGAGUGUGAGAGUGGAAAGUUCACACUGUGACGGUAUCUUACCAGAAAGGGACGGCUAACUACGUG